Molecule: unclassified non-coding RNA, 288 nt
Filed under: plant metagenome
Description: partial contains small subunit ribosomal RNA and internal transcribed spacer 1
Rfam family: Eukaryotic small subunit ribosomal RNA (bases 1-46)
Source: RNAcentral
AAGUCGUAACAAGGUUUCCGUAGGUGAACCUGCGGAAGGAUCAUUAUUGAAUGAACUUGGCUUGGUUGCUGCUGGUCUUUUCGAAGACAUGUGCACGCCAUGUCAUCUUUAUAUCUCCACCUGUGCACCUUUUGUAGACCUGGAUUCAAUUUUUCCGAGGUAACUCGGUCGUGAGGAACUGCUUAACGGCUUUCCUUGUUAGUUUUCCAGGCCUAUGUUUUCAUAUACACCAUACGAAUGUAACAGAAUGUCAUUAUUAGGCUUAAUUGUCUUAUAAACUAUAUACAA